AUUGAACGCUGGCGGCAGGCCUAACACAUGCAAGUCGAGCGAGAAAGCCCUUCGGGUGAGUAGAGCGGCGGACGGGUGAGUAACGCGUAGGAAUCUACCCAGUAGUGGGGGACAACAGUCGGAAACGACUGCUAAUACCGCAUACGCCCUAUGGGGGAAAGCGGGGGAUCUUCGGACCUCGCGCUAUUGGAUGAGCCUGCGUCGGAUUAGCUAGUUGGUGGGGUAAAGGCCUACCAAGGCGACGAUCCGUAGCUGGUCUGAGAGGAUGAUCAGCCACACUGGAAACUGAGACACGGUCCAGACUCCUACGGGAGGCAGCAGUGGGGAAUAUUGCGCAAUGGGGGAAAACCCUGACGCAGCCAUGCCGCGUGUGUGAAGAAGGCUCUAGGGUUGU
RNAcentral lists this ribosomal RNA (394 nucleotides) under uncultured Gammaproteobacteria bacterium. Its description in RNAcentral is "bacterial SSU rRNA". It matches the Rfam family "Bacterial small subunit ribosomal RNA", at positions 29 to 426 of the family's 1533-position model. Lineage: Bacteria; Pseudomonadati; Pseudomonadota; Gammaproteobacteria. The record is from RNAcentral.